GGACCAUAGCUCAGCUGGGAGAGCACCUGACUUUUAAUCAGGGUGUCCCGCGUUCGAGUCGCGGAUAGAUCACCA
RNAcentral lists this transfer RNA (75 nucleotides) under Clostridioides difficile. RNAcentral describes it as "tRNA-Lys(ttt)". It matches the Rfam family "tRNA". Rfam says of the family: Transfer RNA (tRNA) molecules are approximately 80 nucleotides in length. Their secondary structure includes four short double-helical elements and three loops (D, anti-codon, and T loops). Further hydrogen bonds mediate the characteristic L-shaped molecular structure. tRNAs have two regions of fundamental functional importance: the anti-codon, which is responsible for specific mRNA codon recognition, and the 3' end, to which the tRNAs corresponding amino acid is attached (by aminoacyl-tRNA synthetases). tRNAs cope with the degeneracy of the genetic code in two manners: having more than one tRNA (with a specific anti-codon) for a particular amino acid; and 'wobble' base-pairing, i.e. permitting non-standard base-pairing at the 3rd anti-codon position. The record is from RNAcentral. Lineage: Bacteria; Bacillati; Bacillota; Clostridia; Peptostreptococcales; Peptostreptococcaceae.